This is a long non-coding RNA of Drosophila busckii, 292 nucleotides long. RefSeq lists it as uncharacterized. The record is from RefSeq and is a predicted model, not a curated record. Lineage: Eukaryota; Metazoa; Arthropoda; Insecta; Diptera; Drosophilidae. The transcript is spliced from 2 exons.
UAUGCUUAGAACUCAAAUUGAAAGCACAAAUUGUAAAUGCCAUAGACAGAAUAAAUUAAAACAAAUAAAAAUUUCAAGUGUAAAUUAUGAAGACCACAGAUUUGUUGCGUGCAGAUGAUACACUAAUGCGCAUUAUCAAGUGGCUGCAAUACUGCGGCGCAUUUAGUGUUUAUGUGUAUAAGUUUGUAAAUCAAAAUGAAUUCAAUAAGCUCACCUUUAGGUCUUCGAUUUUGUUUCUUUGUGGCGCGUGCCUCACCAGGUUGUGAAUAAAAUUUGCAUAAAUCUAUAAAAA